Molecule: unclassified non-coding RNA, 285 nt
Filed under: plant metagenome
Description: partial contains small subunit ribosomal RNA and internal transcribed spacer 1
Rfam family: Eukaryotic small subunit ribosomal RNA (bases 1-54)
Source: RNAcentral
GGAAGUAAAAGCCGUAACAAGGUUUCCGUAGGUGAACCUGCGGAAGGAUCAUUAUUGUAUAACCGAGGUGCGAGGGCUGUCGCUGACCCGAAAGGUCGUGCACGCCCGAGUGCCCUCACACACAUCCAUCUCACCCCUAUGUGCACCACCGCGUGGGUCCCCCUUUGGCUUGUUCGGAGGGGGGCUUACGUUUUCACACAAACUUUGUAUGCAGUGUAGAAUGUAUUUUUUGUUUUUGCGAUCACGCAAUCAAUACAACUUUCAACAACAGAUCUCUUGGCUCUU